Long non-coding RNA from Suricata suricatta (meerkat), 467 nucleotides. RefSeq lists it as uncharacterized. NCBI's taxonomy places the organism in Eukaryota, Metazoa, Chordata, Mammalia, Carnivora, Herpestidae. The record is from RefSeq and is a predicted model, not a curated record. The transcript has 3 exons.
CUUAUGGAAUGUGAUCAGACACUGCUCCAGAGAGAUAAGAAUGUUUUAAGUGACUAUUGUAAGGACAGCCUGACCACAAUUUCAGCUGAAUUAAGGACUUGGUCUACAAAGAUCAGGAGACAAACAUUGCGAGUCAGCAGGGAAUUUCUUUGAACAAAGACACAGACGUGUGUUCCGGAAACACUGAAUCUGUUACUUUGGGUGAAUCAUAGAGAUGGACGGUAUACAGAUUUCAGAUAUCAGAUUUCAUGUUUAAAUUGUCCAAAAUACAUCUGAAUUUAAAACUAUGUGGACAAUACACUAUCACUCUCCUGAGUGAAAAACAAAGGAGAACACAUGAAAAUCAAUGAAGUACUGGAAAUAAUCCCAAAUGAUAUUUAAAGAAUGAUAAAAUUUGGAAAAUAGAGUCAGCACUGAUGCUUACUUGGCUAAAGAUCUGAAGCUUGGAAAUAAGAAAUAAAAAGGAU